Molecule: ribosomal RNA, 467 nt
Filed under: uncultured bacterium
Lineage: Bacteria
Description: partial 16S ribosomal RNA
Rfam family: Bacterial small subunit ribosomal RNA
Source: RNAcentral
ACGAACGCUGGCGGCGUGCUUAACACAUGCAAGUCGAACGGAAAGGCCCUGCUUUUGUGGGGUGCUCGCGUGGCGAACGGGUGAGUAACACGUGAGUAACCUGCCCUUGACUUUGGGAUAACUUCAGGAAACUGGGGCUAAUACCGGAUAGGAGCUCCUGCUGCAUGGUGGGGGUUGGAAAGUUUCGGCGGUUGGGGAUGGACUCGCGGCUUAUCAGCUUGUUGGUGGGGUAGUGGCUUACCAAGGCUUUGACGGGUAGCCGGCCUGAGAGGGUGACCGGCCACAUUGGGACUGAGAUACGACCCAGACUCCUACAGGAGGCAGCAGUGCAGAAUAUUCCACAAUGGGCGGAAGCCUGAUGCAGCAACGCCGCGUGCGGGAUGACGGCCUUCGGGUUGUAAACCGCUUUCGCCUGUGACGAAGCGUGAGUGACGGUAAUGGGUAAAGAAGCACCGGCUAACUACGUG